AGCACCUGGCGGUAAAACUGAUGCACAAACAGCGCAGCGUCAAAGUGGAAAUGAGAACGCUCUCUAUAUCGGCAUCGGCGUGUUUCUCGGUCUGCUGGUGGUGGCGGUGAUCAUUGCAAGUGUCGUGUUACUCAGGUUUAAGCCGUGGAGAAGGUUCUACUUCAAACACAAUGACAGUAAUGACGUGGACGCCAUAAUCAGCUACGAUAACAAUGCAUACGGUGACGUCACUAUCAAAGGAACCGGUGUGGAUCGAAUAGAUAAUGCUCUUCCGGCGCAAGAUGACCCAGUGUACGCUGUUGGGGGAGAAGAGAAUCACGACAGUCAGCCAGGUGCUAUAGAGGUGAUUUACGACAGCCAUCAAGCAGUCUUUGGUACAAAUGAAGUGUUUCACUUUGGGUCGAAAAACGACUCAGACGCAGAGGCGUAGAUGCUGCUCAGACUUGGACAGUGUAUACACCGCACACUACCAAGCCGGGGAAAGUUUUUUUACCACUCCAACCGUUCUCAUCAAAAUUAAUUAAAUUUGAUGCCGGAAUCUCUUUGAUUUUUCAGAAAAUCGGAGCAAACCGGUUUGCAAACAUUAUUUAUAAAUUUCUAAGUGAAAACGGAAAGUAUGAAGUCUAUAAUCCAUGAACAGUUUUUUUUAGGUUAAAUGUGAUUAUACAUAAGUA
Molecule: long non-coding RNA, 674 nt
Organism: Lingula anatina
Lineage: Eukaryota; Metazoa; Brachiopoda; Lingulata; Lingulida; Lingulidae
Source: RefSeq, a predicted model, not a curated record